AGAGUUUGAUUCUGGCUCAGGAUGAACGCUGGCGGCGUGCCUAAUACAUGCAAGUCGAGCGAACAGAUGAGGAGCUUGCUCCUUUGAUGUUAGCGGCGGACGGGUGAGUAACACGUGGGUAACCUACCUAUAAGACUGGGAUAACUUCGGGAAACCGGAGCUAAUACCGGAUAAUAUUUCGAACCGCAUGGUUCGAUAGUGAAAGAUGGCUCUGCUAUCACUUAUAGAUGGACCUGCGCCGUAUUAGCUAGUUGGUAAGGUAACGGCUUACCAAGGCAACGAUACGUAGCCGACCUGAGAGGGUGAUCGGCCACACUGGAACUGAGACACGGUCCAGACUCCUACGGGAGGCAGCAGUAGGGAAUCUUCCGCAAUGGGCGAAAGCCUGACGGAGCAACGCCGCGUGAGUGAUGAAGGUCUUCGGAUCGUAAAACUCUGUUAUUAGGGAAGAACAAACGUGUAAGUAACUGUGCACGUCUUGACGGUACCUAAUCAGAAAGCCACGGCUAACUACGUGCCAGCAGCCGCGGUAAUACGUAGGUGGCAAGCGUUAUCCGGAAUUAUUGGGCGUAAAGCGCGCGUAGGCGGUUUUUUAAGUCUGAUGUGAAAGCCCACGGCUCAACCGUGGAGGGUCAUUGGAAACUGGAAAACUUGAGUGCAGAAGAGGAAAGUGGAAUUCCAUGUGUAGCGGUGAAAUGCGCAGAGAUAUGG
RNAcentral lists this ribosomal RNA (711 nucleotides) under Staphylococcus sp. E16. Its description in RNAcentral is "bacterial SSU rRNA". It matches the Rfam family "Bacterial small subunit ribosomal RNA", at positions 8 to 701 of the family's 1533-position model. Lineage: Bacteria; Bacillati; Bacillota; Bacilli; Caryophanales; Staphylococcaceae. The record is from RNAcentral.